This is a long non-coding RNA of Mus musculus (house mouse), 1017 nucleotides long. RefSeq annotates it as predicted gene, 34325. The record is from RefSeq and is a predicted model, not a curated record. NCBI's taxonomy places the organism in Eukaryota, Metazoa, Chordata, Mammalia, Rodentia, Muridae. The transcript has 3 exons.
UAUCAUCUGCACUGUCCAGAGGGGCAGAGCUGCACCCUUGCUAAUCUACGAUGAGUAAAGAAAGAAAAGGGCUGUAUAAGGCCCUCCCCAGGGAUGCAGCCAAACCCCCCGACAGGAAGGCACAGUGACAGCUGAAGGCAAUGCUUUCUACCAGGCAAGUGCUCUAUCACUGAACUACAUUCUCGGCAAAUCCAUGUCCUUGAACCGGAGGCUGCGUUGUUGAAACUAGCUUUCUUGGGUCCUUAUUCCUAAGACUGUCGUCACUCGUUAAUGAGCUUUGUCCACAAAUCUGAAACCGUUUUAACAUAGAUGGGUGCAGACGUGCUAAUAAAAUCCAGACGGCUACUCUACACAAACUAAUUCUUUAAACUGUGCGAGUGAUCAAAGAGGAUCCAUGCAAGUCAAGGACACAGAUUUGCUGUGGAUGUCGUUCAGUGGUAGAGCACUUGGCUGCUACUCACAAAGCUGUGAGUUCAAUCCCCAGCAUCACAGCUAGGUAAACACCUUCACUCCCACAAAGUUCACGGGGAAAAUGGGUAGCCGGAUACAGUUUACUGUGUCUGUGGAAGCAUGAACCAAGAAGAAGGAGGAGUAUUUAGGCUCCUUCCAUCAUGUGUAACCCAAAGGGACCCGGAUGAACCAGGAUUAUCCAAAGUUGAUGCUCUAAGAAUGCAACUUUAGACAUGAUACUGUGAAGCUAGUGUCAUCACAGGAGGGGACACGAGUGGGGCUCACAGGUCCCAAGAACUAUGUCCUUUACUAUAGAGGUUCAAAAGUGGCAGCUUGCAGUUACAUAGUAUAAAGCAAGAGUAAUUGUAGCCUCCCACAAGCCUGAAGCAGGCUGAGCCAGACCUUGACUUUGUUGUCACUAAGGAGAUUACCUAGGGUGGAGCCUGCCUCCCUAGAUCCCUAGCGACUGCCCCUACUGCUACCUGCUGGGAGUCGGCCUAGCUGUUCCAGAGCCUACACGUGAUCACCUGCAGCUGGGCUCCGAGGAUGAUUUGGUGGGAAUGAGCU